Molecule: long non-coding RNA, 1769 nt
Organism: Lagopus muta (rock ptarmigan)
Lineage: Eukaryota; Metazoa; Chordata; Aves; Galliformes; Phasianidae
Exons: 3
Source: RefSeq, a predicted model, not a curated record
AAUCUGCUCUGCUGGAGUUUUGUAGGUGAGCAUAGGAUAGGGGAUCCCUCGAGCACUGGAAGGCCAUGACAUGAUCUCCUCAGAGUCUUCUCUUCUCCAUGCUCAACAAUUCUAGCUUCCUUAGUCAGCCUUCAUACGAUAGGCACCCAGAACUGAAUGCAGUAGUUGAAGUGAGGCCUCACAAGAGAAGGUUAGAGGGAAAGUAUCAGCUGCCUUGGUAAGAAGAAGCUACACUUCUUAUGAUGACAGCUCAUAUUCAGUAUUUCACCUACCAAUACCCCCAAGGCCUUCUUCACAGAGUUGUUACUUCACUCAUCAUCCAAACUGAAUUAAUGAUUGAGAUUGCUUUGGCCCAGAUGCAGGACCUUGCACUGGACUUUGUUGAACUUCAUGAGAUUUGUACGGGCCUACCUCUCAAGCCUGUCAAGGUCCCUCUGGAUUGCAUCCAUUCCUUUCUGUGCAUCAACUGUGCCACUCAGCUUGGUAUCUUCUCCAAACUUUCCAAGAGUGCACUCAAUAUCACUGUUCGUGUUACCAAUAAUGCUGUUAAGUAGUGCCAGUUCUGAUGCAAAACCUCAAGAAACACUAUUAAUUAUUGGAAUUCCCCUGCACAUCGAUCUUUUGACCACAAAUCUUUAACUGCAACCAUCCAGCCAAUUCCUUAUCCACUGAGUGGUCCAUCCAUCAAACUCAUGUCUCUCCAAUUUAGAGACGUGUAAGACAGUUUCAGGUGCUUUGCACAAAAAACAGGUAGAUGAUAUUUGUUGCUCUUCUGUGACAAAACAAAUGCUGUUACCCUAUCGUAGAAGGCUACCAGGUACAAUUUCCUGUUAGUGAAAUCACGUGGGCUGUCGCCAAUCCCCUCUCUGUUUUCAGAGUGCUUUAGCAUAUUUUCUAGGAGGUUUUGUUUUGUGAUCUUGCCCAGAACAGAACUAAAUUGCUCCAAAAUUAAUGCCUUCUAUUUACUUCCAUGGAAACUACAACAGAUACAAAGAGCACAAUAACUCUAUUUGAUAGGGCAAACGCUCAACUACAAAAUGAUAUUUUUUCAGCAAUCUCCACCAGUAGCCAUGCAUCUUCAUGAGCAAAGAACAAGAUCCUGAAUCCACAUUCGUAAAAAUCUGCACCAGUGGAAAUGACCUGCUGUUGCCAUUGCUGAAAUGCACCACUCACCGCUUUAUUGUGCUCACAUCCAUUGUUUGGUCUCAGAUGUUCAGCAAGCAUCAAUCAGUGUUAAUGGGUGCCAUUUUUUCUGCAAGGAGGAAUUUAGUUGCACACCUUUGUUCCAUACACACUUCCAUGUCAGACAUCACUGUGUCAUACUGCCUCUCUGCAGCCAUCUGUUGCACAGUAAUGAAAUGUAACAGGAUAUUGGCAGGAAAGUUCAGCCUCUACUUUCGUACCAUUAACAUCUACCACUGAUACUGUGGGCCAACAGCAUGAAAUAGAAGGCGUUCUUUCUUGGCCUGAGCACACUGCUGGUGAGCAUCGAGUAACACCCCCAGAUCUGUUACAUUUACACAGUUUUCCAGCCAUUUUGCCCCAAUCUAGCAGCGUUGCUUAUGGUUGUUGUGGCCAAAGUGCAGGACCUGGCAGUUGGUCUUGUUGAACUUCAGCCCAAUGGCCUCAACCCAGUGAUCCAGUUUGUUCAGUUCUCUCUGUGGCACCUUCCUUCCCUUAGCCACUUCCUUCUAACUCGGUGUCGUCUGCAGACCCACUGAGGAUGCACUCAGUACCCUCAUCCCAGUCAUCAAUAAAGAUAUUGAACA